This 3232-nucleotide long non-coding RNA is filed under the name Ornithorhynchus anatinus (platypus). Its description in RNAcentral is "lncRNA (ENSOANG00000037698.1)". Lineage: Eukaryota; Metazoa; Chordata; Mammalia; Monotremata; Ornithorhynchidae. The record is from RNAcentral.
CUGGAUCUCCCGCAGCGCUUAGAACAGUGCUCUGCACACAGUAAGCGCUUCACAAAUACCAACAUUAUUAUUAUUAUUAAGCACUUAAUAAAUGCCACUAUUACCGUUAGGGAGGAUGAUGGGACAGUGAGGGGAUUCCGGGCCCUGCUGUGCGCUAAGCACUGGACUGAACGUUUGAGAGGAAGCAGUAGAGUUCAAAGACAAGACUCCCCGCUUACGAGAAACUUCAUUUGAGGUCAACCUCCCUCCUGCCUCCUCAGUUGGAUCCUUCUUUGGGCCGGAAAGCAAGUGAUUUUGACGCACGGAGAGCAAAGCCCUAAUCUUAUUUUAGUCAUUCGUUAGUGAUAUUUCGAACCUGAUCAAAGCGGCUUUUAAAUGACAGUUUGCCAGCUCCGCUAAUCAGAAUCUCAAUAGAUUUUUUUUUUCCUUCCGAGGCCUGAUUUUUGUCCAAUUAAUUAUAGCAAGCAAAUAGACUGUGCUAUAAAGGGGGAUGACCACCGUUUCCUCCUUCUGAUGCGACAUCUGUAUGGGAUUCUCAUUAGCAGUGAAAAGGGAACAAAACACAGACUUGAAAAGCUACUUUUAAUCUAGGCAGGCUUUUCUCAUUAAGGUUGUUCAGUAGUAUUUAUGGAGCGCUUACUCUGUGCAGAGCACUGUACUAAGCGCUCGGAACCAACGAGUCGGCAACCGAUAGAGACGGUCCCACGGUCUCAUCGGGGGAGACGGGCCGAAGAGAACGGUGGCGAUAAAUAGAGUCGAGGGGAAGAACCUCCCGUAAAAACAGUGGCGACUCAAUAGAAUCGAGGCGACGUACAUUUCAUUAAUAAAAUAAAUCGGGUGACGGAUAAUAGGUCGAGAAAGUGGCAUCGGGAUAUUCAGUGGCCUGUUUCGGGCAGGACGCGUCUUCCCGGCGGACGGCUUUUUCCAAGUGUGAAGAGGCAGGGCCGAUCAGGAGUUAACGCACCUCACCUGCCCCAGAGUUUGGUCCUGGGGGGCAAUUGUGUCCAGGUGUGCCCCACCUGGACCCCACCCCGCAACCCCGCCCCGUUCCCGCCUCUCUCCCACGGUCCUGGCCCGCAGGGUCAGCGGACUCUCAAAGCCGCGGGUUGGCGGAGCCUUCCCGGCUCCCAGAAAAGAGAGAAAAACCCAGCCUGUCUUUGGAAGCGACGGUUUGGAACUCGUCUUUGGAGGAGGGAGGGAAAAGGGAAAAAAAAUCAUCCUCUCCCAGCCUCUAGACCGUCCCCGGCUGACCCCGCGAGAGACCGUCUGAAAAGGGUUUCCCCCCGCUCUCCCCAGCUAGAAACACAGCACGGCCCCUCGCCGCUUUUCCCACCGCUCACCAACGCCUCCCGGCCAGUCCGGCUUCUCGGCGCCGGUCGCGCGCCUCCCGGCCGCUCCCGCCGGUCCUCCUCGGUCGGAUUCCAGUGGGUCCCCCGAGGCCCACCCCUUCUCCGCAGCUUUCUCCACGACGAUCAGCACCCCCCGGCCGGCUCUCCUCCGGGUCCGGGAUUCCGUCGAGGGACCCCCGAUGCCCGGACUCGGGCUCCCGGGAACGCCCGACGUCCUGCCUCCCGGCCCUCCGGUGGCUCCGCUAGGCCCCGGGGAGGAGCCGGGGACUGGCCUUGGGCCCUUCCUGGCCCGGUCCGGCUUGGCUGAGAAGAAACUGUGGGACGGACGCUGCCUGCGGGGGCACGUGAAUUCCCUAAAAACUAAAGCACGUUGGGACUGUGUUGGAGUGAGAUGAGGCAUUCCAGGAAGCGGUCGUUGGUUCGUUCGUAUUUCUGGAGCGCUCACCGUGUGCAGAGCGCCGUACUUCGCACUGGGGAGAGAACAGUAUAACGGUAAGCGGACGCGUUCCCGUCGACGUCGCAGGGCGCCCAGGGGCCGGAGAGCCGAGGCGAUGGAAACCCCCUCGUCCCUGCCGUCGGACCACCCGGGUGGCGGGGUGGAAAACGAGCGUGAAAGUCGCCGGAGACCCGCCGUCCCCUCCCUUCGAGCGUGGCUGUUCUCCGAUCCCUCUUGUCACGUCCUCUUGGCAGACGCGCCCUCGGGGUGUCGGGACGGGCCCGUGGAACUCCUCCGUGUCUUGCCCUUUUCUUCGGAGCUUUUGAAUAUCAAUCACGAUGACCACGCUGGCGAUUAAGCGCUCCGUGCCACCGGGGUCGGUGGAACAUUAAUCCGACUCGAUUCUCCGCGGUCGGCCUUCCGUAAUUCUCUGCUCGGGGGAGGUAGGGCCGAAUUAAACGGCGGCCGGGGCGGCCUCGCUGGGAAGUCCGCGAGCUACUUGGAUUUGAAAGGAAGUAGAAGGGGGGAAGACUAGCCUACUCGGAGAGUUCUUGCGCAUUUUUAGAAAUCUCUCCCUUUGUACGGGGCGCUGGGGAGCAAGUGUGAGCGGCGGCGUGGGUUAGCGGGACGAGCUGGGGCCCGGGAGUCAGAGGACCUGUGUUCGGAUCCCGGCUCUGCCACUUGUCUACUGUGCCACCUUGGGCAAAUGGCUUCGCUUUCCUCACCCGUAAAAUGGGGAUCCAAUACGCGUUCCCUCCCUACUCAGAGGACCGUGAGCCCCACACGGGCCAGGGACCGCAUGCACCUGAUUAACUCGUACCUAGCUCAGUCCUGGACGCGCGAUAAGGGCUCAACAGCCAAUCUGCAGAGGCCACGGUGGUUUUAGGAUCCGUGAAGCGUCGGUGGGCUCCGUGGGUGCGGGCGGAGGGGUGCUGGAGGGCUCCCAGGGCGGUCUCUGAUCGCUCGGGAGAAGGUGACAGUGGUUCUGAGGAAGCUGGGAGCGUUUGGGGGCGGGGGGUGCUUUCCGAUCCUACCGCCUCUUUGCUCUUCUACGAGUGGUGAGGAUUUCGCGGAGAGCAAGUGCCCGUAAUCGGCCCGUGUCCUCGAGGACACCCCCGAGGGGGACGUCCACCUUCGGGGGUGCGGCUGCGAAUGAGUUUGGCUAAGAUGACUUUUGAUCCCCGUCAACACAAAUGGGAUCUACUGUCGUAGGUACGAGGAGACGAGACUCGGGCGGGGAGGUUUCGAUCCCACCGAGCGGGCAAGUGGCUCUGCAGCCGUUUCCCCUCCGGCUGGGCGGGGGAACCCGGGAGGAGCCCGGGAGCCGAGCCCCCUCCCCCCCGGCCCCUAAAUCGCCGUCCUUCGGGGCCUUACGGGUUUUUAGGCCGCGUGCUCCGCCGGAGGGGGAGAGGAGGCAGGAGAUGGACGCCCUGGAAGCAGCAGCACU